UGCCAUAUGUUCUAGUGGUUAGGAUUUGGCGCUUUCACCGCCAAGGCCCGGGUUCAAUUCUCGGUGUGGAAC
This 72-nucleotide transfer RNA is filed under the name Saccoglossus kowalevskii. Its description in RNAcentral is "tRNA-Glu". It matches the Rfam family "tRNA". Rfam says of the family: Transfer RNA (tRNA) molecules are approximately 80 nucleotides in length. Their secondary structure includes four short double-helical elements and three loops (D, anti-codon, and T loops). The record is from RNAcentral. Lineage: Eukaryota; Metazoa; Hemichordata; Enteropneusta; Harrimaniidae.